GAUGAACGCUGGCGGCGUGCUUAAUACAUGCAAGUCGAGCGGACAGGUCUCUUUCGGGGGGUACUGGCGUGGCGAACGGGCGAGUAACAAGUGCGUAGCUUACCCAUGUAUUUGGGAUAACUUCCGUCAACUGGGGCUAACACAGGACAGGAGCUCCUGUUGCAUGGAUGGGGUUGUAAAGAUUCGGGGGUUGGGGAUGGCCUCGCGGCUUAUCAGCUUCUUGGUGGAGUAGUGGCUUACCAAGGCCUUGCCGGGUAGCCGGCCAGAGAGGGUGACCGGCGGCAUUGGGACUGAGAGGCGGCCCAGACACCUACGGGAGGGAGAAGGGGGGAAGAUUGAACGAGGGAUGGAAGCCUGGUGCAGCAACGCCGUGGGCGGGAUGACGGUGUUCGGGGUGUAAACCGAAUGCGCUAGUGACGAUGCUUUGUGUGACGGUAGUGAGUAAGGAAGCACCGGCUAACUACGUG
RNAcentral lists this ribosomal RNA (467 nucleotides) under uncultured bacterium. RNAcentral describes it as "partial 16S ribosomal RNA". It matches the Rfam family "Bacterial small subunit ribosomal RNA", at positions 28 to 507 of the family's 1533-position model. The record is from RNAcentral.